RNAcentral lists this ribosomal RNA (468 nucleotides) under uncultured bacterium. Its description in RNAcentral is "partial 16S ribosomal RNA". It matches the Rfam family "Bacterial small subunit ribosomal RNA", at positions 28 to 507 of the family's 1533-position model. The record is from RNAcentral.
GACGAACGCUGGCGGCGUGCUUAACACAUGCAAGUCGAACGGAAAGGCCCUGCUUUUGUGGGGUGCUCGAGUGGCGAACGGGUGAGUAACACGUGAGUAACCUGCCCUUGACUUUGGGAUAACUUCAGGAAACUGGGGCUAAUACCGGAUAGGAGCUCCUGCUGCAUGGUGGGGGUUGGAAAGUUUCGGCGGUUGGGGAUGGACUCGCGGCUUAUCAGCUUGUUGGUGGGGUAGUGGCUUACCAAGGCUUUGACGGGUAGCCGGCCUGAGAGGGUGACCGGCCACAUUGGGAUUGAGAUACGGCCCAGACUCCUACGGGAGGCAGCAGUGGGGAAUAUUGCACAAUGGGCGGAAGCCUGGUGCAGCAACGCUGCGUGCGGGAUGACGGCCUUCGGGUUGUAAACCGCUUUCGCCUGUGACGAAGCGUGAGUGACGGUAAUGGGUAAAGAAGCACCGGCUAACUACGUG